RNAcentral lists this ribosomal RNA (391 nucleotides) under uncultured bacterium. RNAcentral describes it as "bacterial SSU rRNA". It matches the Rfam family "Bacterial small subunit ribosomal RNA", at positions 32 to 408 of the family's 1533-position model. The record is from RNAcentral.
AAUCAACGCUGGCGGCGUGCCUAACACAUGCAAGUCGAACGCGAAAGUCCCGCAAGGGAUUAGUAGAGUGGCAAACGGGUGAGUAACACGUGGGUGACCUGCCUUCGAGUGGGGGAUAACGUCCCGAAAGGGACGCUAAUACCGCAUAACAUCCUGCCUUUUAAGAGGUGGAGAUCAAAGCUGGGGACCGUAAGGCCUGGGCGCUGGAAGAGGGGCCCGCGUCUGAUUAGCUAGNGGUGAGGUAAUGGCUCACCAAGGCGACGAUCAGUAGCUGGUCUGAGAGGAUGAUCAGCCACAUUGGGACUGAGACACGGCCCAAACUCCUACGGGAGGCAGCAGUGGGAAUAUUGACAAUGGGCGAAAGCCUGAUCCAGCCAUGCCGCGUGAGUGA